This 424-nucleotide ribosomal RNA is filed under the name uncultured bacterium. RNAcentral describes it as "bacterial SSU rRNA". It matches the Rfam family "Bacterial small subunit ribosomal RNA", at positions 355 to 776 of the family's 1533-position model. The record is from RNAcentral.
UGAGGAAUAUUGGUCAAUGGCCGAAGGGCUGAACCAGCCAAGUCGCGUGAAGGAUGAAGGUUCUAUGGAUUGUAAACUUCUUUUAUCAGGGAAUAAAGUGUGGUACGUGUACCAUUUUGUAUGUACCUGAUGAAUAAGCAUCGGCUAACUCCGUGCCAGCAGCCGCGGUAAUACGGAGGAUGCGAGCGUUAUCCGGAUUUAUUGGGUUUAAAGGGUGCGUAGGUGGUAAAUUAAGUCAGCGGUGAAAGUUUGUGGCUCAACCAUAAAAUUGCCGUUGAAACUGUUUUACUUGAGUGUGUUUGAGGUAGGCGGAAUGCGUGGUGUAGCGGUGAAAUGCAUAGAUAUCACGCAGAACUCCAAUUGCGAAGGCAGCUUACUAAACCAUAACUGACACUGAAGCACGAAAGCGUGGGGAUCAAACAGG